Molecule: long non-coding RNA, 1009 nt
Organism: Octodon degus (degu)
Lineage: Eukaryota; Metazoa; Chordata; Mammalia; Rodentia; Octodontidae
Exons: 3
Source: RefSeq, a predicted model, not a curated record
UGCCGUCAGCCGUCAUUUGGGGACCAGAGGCGGUUUGGGCAUCUAGAAGUUGGUUUGGUGGGCGGAAUUUGAAUGUUAAGGAUUGAUGGCCCCUCGCGGGCGAUAGGAAGGCGGAGGCCUCAACUCAGGACGUCUGUGUGCACAGCCUGCCAAGCGGCCGAUCUGCUAUGCACGAACGCACCUAGCAAGCCUGGAAGUUUUGUCGCUAUCACCGCCUUCAGUGGCAGCAACGAAGCCUCCUGCCCUGGAGCCCGACGUGGUUCGAGCCAGGGACUUGGUUUAAGAGGCGUAGCGUUGGCAUCUUUUAUGCGAGCCUGCCAGGCGGCACACUACCCUAGGGGCAGGAGCAAACUCGGGCAGAACUCGGGCGUGGGAAGCGGGUUCCUCAUUACUUUGCUGUUUUGCUGCCUUGUGCCCACCAUAAGCUGUCUCUCUCCUUUGAUGCCUUUCUGCCAUGCCACCCUGACUUGGAGCCAGCCAACUAUGGACUGAACCUCUGCAAAUCAUGAGCCUAAUAUAAACUCUUCCCCCUUUAACUUUGAGCGUCUGCUGCAUCCAGCACAUCUCUCAAAGUUCCCAGGAGGAAAGAGAGCAAGAGGAUGGAGAAGUAAAGAUAAAAGACAGAAAGCUCAGUGCCAGUGGCCCAAACGAGGGCUCCUUGGGCGAACAUCCCAGCACUGAGCUACCCCAGCCCCCGGCGAUCUCUCCAGCUAGUACCACACGGUUUUGAAGUCGGACUGAGUUGCUCCUGCGACUUUCUUCUAAUUCUCUAACACUGGGCAGCCCUUCCAUGUCUUUCUCCCUGUAAACUUGAAGAUCCCCCUGUCAGCACACACACCAUAGCUUGCUGGGCUUUUGCUUGGGAUUGUAUUGCAGGUGCAGUUGGGAAGAACGGACAUGGAGCAACUGAGUCUCCCUGCUGUGAAGGGGGGUUCUCCCCACCGAUUUAUUCUUUGCUUUAUUUCAUCCAAGUUUUGCAGUUUACCUUAUAUAAUUGUUGGACUUAUUU